This 327-nucleotide ribosomal RNA is filed under the name uncultured eukaryote. RNAcentral describes it as "partial 18S ribosomal RNA". It matches the Rfam family "Eukaryotic small subunit ribosomal RNA", at positions 1470 to 1796 of the family's 1831-position model. The record is from RNAcentral.
CCCCUAGAUGUUCUGGGCCGCACGCGCGCUACACUGAACAGUUCAACAAGUCUUAACCUUGGCCGAGAGGCCUGGGCAAUCUUGUUAACGUGCAUCGUGAUAGGGAUAGAUUAUUGAAAUUAUUAAUCUUGAACGAGGAAUUCCUAGUAAACGCAGAUCAUCAAUCUGCAUUGAUUACGUCCCUGCCCUUUGUACACACCGCCCGUCGCACCUACCGAUUGGAUGGUCCGGUGAAGCCUCGGGAUUGUGGUUCUUGCCGCUUUAUUGUGGCGUGACCGCGAGAACUUGUCUAAACCUUAUCAUCUAGAGGAAGGUGAAGUCGUANCA